GACGAACGCUGGCGGCGUGCCUAACACAUGCAAGUCGAACGGGGUUGCGAGAGCUUGCUUUUGCAACUUAGUGGCGAACGGGUGAGUAACGCGUGAGGAACCUGCCUUCCAGUGGGGGACAACAGUUGGAAACGACUGCUAAUACCGCAUAAUGUAUUCGGGGGGCAUCCUCUGAACACCAAAGCUUUAUGUGCUGAGAGAUGGGCUCGCGUCCAAUUAGCUAGAUGGUGAGGUAACGGCUCACCAUGGCGACGAUUGGUAGCCGGACUGAGAGGUUGAACGGCCACAUUGGGACUGAGACACGGCCCAGACUCCUACGGGAGGCAGCAGUGGGGAAUAUUGCACAAUGGGGGAAACCCUGAUGCAGCGACGCCGCGUGAGCGAAGAAGGUUUUCGGAUCGUAAAGCUCUGUCUUCAGGGACGAUAAUGACGGUACCUGAGGAGGAAGCCACGGCUAACGUACGUGCCAGCAG
This 473-nucleotide ribosomal RNA is filed under the name uncultured bacterium. Its description in RNAcentral is "bacterial SSU rRNA". It matches the Rfam family "Bacterial small subunit ribosomal RNA", at positions 28 to 514 of the family's 1533-position model. The record is from RNAcentral.